RNAcentral lists this ribosomal RNA (410 nucleotides) under uncultured Methylomirabilota bacterium. RNAcentral describes it as "bacterial SSU rRNA". It matches the Rfam family "Bacterial small subunit ribosomal RNA", at positions 1025 to 1434 of the family's 1533-position model. The record is from RNAcentral. Lineage: Bacteria; Methylomirabilota (SeqCode).
AGCGUGGAGACAGGUGGUGCAUGGCUGUCGUCAGCUCGUGUCGUGAGAUGUUGGGUUAAGUCCCGCAACGAGCGCAACCCUCACCCCUUGUUGCCACCAGGUCAGGCUGGGCACUCUAGGGGAACUGCCCCGGUCAACGGGGAGGAAGGUGGGGAUGACGUCAAGUCAUCAUGCCCCUUACGUCCUGGGCUACACACGUGCUACAAUGGCCGGUACAAAGGGAUGCAAGACCGUGAGGUGGAGCUAAACCCAAAAAGCCGGUCUAAGUUCAGAUUGGAGUCUGCAACUCGACUCCAUGAAGGAGGAAUCGCUAGUAAUCGCGCAUCAGCACGGCGCGGUGAAUACGUUCCCGGGCCUUGUACACACCGCCCGUCACACCACGAAAGUCUGCUGUACUCGAAGUCGCUGAG